Molecule: long non-coding RNA, 637 nt
Filed under: Homo sapiens (human)
Lineage: Eukaryota; Metazoa; Chordata; Mammalia; Primates; Hominidae
Description: HSALNT0296770
Source: RNAcentral
GCCUGGGGGACAGAGCAAGACUCUGUCUCAAAAGAAAAAAAAAUGAAAUAAAUAAUAUUAGAAAAGCUCUUAGCCCAGAACCCUCAGUGCCCAGUAGAUGAUCAGCUUUUUCUGCAUCUUCAGCUAACGGUGGCAGAUGGCAACCCAGCUCCCAGUUACAUAUCUUCAAUUCUGGGGCCAACUGAGCUCUCACCAAAUUCCAGUUCCAAAUCCCCAGGGAAAGGAAUCCAACUGGCCCCUGCCAAGUGCAGGGUUCUGACCACCAUGCUGAGGAUGAAGAUGAAGACAGCAUAAGCUCUGCCUCUAGAAACUGACAAUCUGCAUGGAGAGGAAAGACAUAUGCAGCUCUUCGGAAAAGGCCCUAAGAAGCCAUCAAAGAUAUGUCAUGGAGGAAGCCAUCGAAGAGGAAAGAGGAAGCUUUGUAACAGUUUACCUGGGAGGAAUAACAAGCUGCCAUAUGAAUACUGAUGAGAAAGGAGGUGGGAGAGACAUUUGAUCAUCAAUCAAGUUAUGAUUAUGAACACUCAGUUAAGAAAGAAAUGUGAAGUCAGUGUUCCUGAACAUGAAGAACAAGACCAGGGGUUGGGUUUUGGAGUCACACGGACUUUUUUUGUUCCAGCUCAUUUGUCUUUUUACC